UACGGAGGGGGCUAGCGUUGUUCGGAAUUACUGGGCGUAAAGCGCGCGUAGGCGGCUUUGUAAGUUAGAGGUGAAAGCCCGGAGCUCAACUCCGGAACUGCCUUUAAGACUGCAUCGCUAGAAUCGUGGAGAGGUGAGUGGAAUUCCGAGUGUAGAGGUGAAAUUCGUAGAUAUUCGGAAGAACACCAGUGGCGAAGGCGACUCACUGGACACGUAUUGACGCUGAGGUGCGAAAGCGUGGGGAGCAAACAGG
RNAcentral lists this ribosomal RNA (253 nucleotides) under Sphingomonas edaphi. Its description in RNAcentral is "partial 16S ribosomal RNA". It matches the Rfam family "Bacterial small subunit ribosomal RNA", at positions 524 to 776 of the family's 1533-position model. The record is from RNAcentral. Lineage: Bacteria; Pseudomonadati; Pseudomonadota; Alphaproteobacteria; Sphingomonadales; Sphingomonadaceae. RNAcentral also lists the same sequence under 2 other names.